AGAGUUCCGUGUCUGACGUCUAUCAGCUUAAGGUGGACAGCAGCACCAACUCAAGCCCCAGCCCCCAGCAGAGUGAGUCCCUGAGCCCAGCACACACCUCCGACUUCCGCACGGAUGACUCCCAGCCCCCAACGCUGGGCCAGGAGAUCCUGGAGGCCCUCCCUGCCCUCCUCGGAAGUUGCUGAUGAACCUCCUACCCUCACCAAGGAAGAACCAGUUCCACUAGAGACACAGGUCGUUGAGGAAGAGGAAGACUCAGGUGCCCCGCCCCUGAAGCGCUUCUGUGUGGACCAACCCACAGUGCCGCAGACGGCGUCAGAAAGCUAGCACCAUCCCGGCCCUCCGCCUCCUGGCCCUGCCUCUAUUUAUUGCAUUCUGGUUCUGGCCGCGCCGCGUUGCUGGGGUAAGGGCAAGCACUGGGGUCAAGAGCCUGCACACAUGAGCCUUCCGGGCUGGAAGGCUGGCGUAGGACUUGGGGCUGUAGCAUCAUCUUCCUGACCCUGGCACCUGUGUCUACUUGCUCCCGAGAAGAGGAGCGCUCAUGUCUUUUUUGCACCCCAAGUUGGCUGGAGCAUCGGCCACCCCAAGAUUCAUCUGUGACCUCCAGGCAGCAGUCUCUGCUCCAGAAUCUCUGGACGGAGCUGCUGGCAGCUUCUGCGAGAAGAGAGAGAUGUGGAAGGCACCUUCUAGAAGAGAGCGUGCCUCAGGUUACUUGAACUUGAACGGAGACUGUAGACUCCCGGACUUUCCCCUAGGACUGGGGGCCCUGUAGGCUGCUGUUGGAGGACUGGGUAGAGACAUUGGAGGGAAGGGAAGGGCUUUUCUCCACACAAGGGCAGAGAGUCCGUCUAGAUUUCUUGCUGUCCUGCCAGCUCUGCCCAUGCCUGAGGUGGUCCUACCUCUCACGGGCACCCUAGCUGCUGACAGCCCUUUGUGGCCGCCGUCCCCAUCCCCUGCCCUCAGCACACACAUCUGCACACACGCAGCUUUGUUCUCACCUCUACCUGUCAUUCCAGCAUCCCUGCCUCUUGUCACAAACUGCCCCAGCAAGAAUUUGAGGUUCUGACAACAGUACCCAUCCCCCACAGUACCCCUUCAGCUCAGUUUCUAGAAAGCUCCCUUUUCUUUGAAAUCUGCAUGUUGAAUUGAACUUUGUGAUUUUAUUUUUUGUUUCAAAAAAGUUUAAGAAAAUGGAAAUGGGCAACAGUGAGUGAAGACAUAUUUUAGCACUGAAUAGAAUAUUUUUAAAAUUAAACUAUUUGAA
This 1264-nucleotide long non-coding RNA is filed under the name Homo sapiens (human). RNAcentral describes it as "HSALNT0124257". Lineage: Eukaryota; Metazoa; Chordata; Mammalia; Primates; Hominidae. The record is from RNAcentral.